GGUUCCAUAGUGUAGCGGUUAGCACGUCUGCUUUACACACAGAAGGUCCUGAGUUCACGCCCCAGUAGAGCCA
Molecule: transfer RNA, 73 nt
Filed under: Pteropus alecto (black flying fox)
Lineage: Eukaryota; Metazoa; Chordata; Mammalia; Chiroptera; Pteropodidae
Rfam family: tRNA
About the family: Transfer RNA (tRNA) molecules are approximately 80 nucleotides in length. Their secondary structure includes four short double-helical elements and three loops (D, anti-codon, and T loops). Further hydrogen bonds mediate the characteristic L-shaped molecular structure. tRNAs have two regions of fundamental functional importance: the anti-codon, which is responsible for specific mRNA codon recognition, and the 3' end, to which the tRNAs corresponding amino acid is attached (by aminoacyl-tRNA synthetases). tRNAs cope with the degeneracy of the genetic code in two manners: having more than one tRNA (with a specific anti-codon) for a particular amino acid; and 'wobble' base-pairing, i.e. permitting non-standard base-pairing at the 3rd anti-codon position.
Source: Rfam by way of RNAcentral